This 45-nucleotide non-coding RNA is filed under the name Trichobilharzia regenti. Lineage: Eukaryota; Metazoa; Platyhelminthes; Trematoda; Strigeidida; Schistosomatidae. The record is from RNAcentral.
AUCCAACUGACGAGUCCAAAAUGGGACGAAACGCGCAUCCUGGAU